This 432-nucleotide ribosomal RNA is filed under the name uncultured bacterium. RNAcentral's name for it is "bacterial SSU rRNA". It matches the Rfam family "Bacterial small subunit ribosomal RNA", at positions 30 to 467 of the family's 1533-position model. The record is from RNAcentral.
AUUGAACGCUGGCGGCAGGCCUAACACAUGCAAGUCGAGCGGUAGAGAGGUGCUUGCAUCUCUUGAGAGCGGCGGACGGGUGGGUAAUGCCUAGGAAUCUGCCUAGUGGUGGGGAUAACGUUCGGAAACGGACGCUAAUACCGCAUACGUCCUACGGGAGAAAGCGGGGGAUCUUCGGACCUCGCGCCAUUAGAUGAGCCUAGGUCGGAUUAGCUAGUUGGUGAGGUAAUGGCUCACCAAGGCGACGAUCUGUAGCUGGUCUGAGAGGACGACCAGCCACACUGGGACUGAGACACGGCCCAGACUCCUACGGGAGGCAGCAGUGGGGAAUUUUGGACAAUGGGCGCAAGCCUGAUCCAGCAAUGCCGCGUGCAGGAUGAAGGCCUUGGUUGUAACUAGCUUUGUACGGACGAAACGGUAGAGCUCUAAUAC